CACAGCCCUCUCUUGUCCAAGCUUAAGAUAGUACCUGUGGAGCAGUCACCAGGGAAGAAAGGCUUUCCGAGGGUGACAAUGUCUGACGAGCCGAUGGAGAGAGGAGCAACAGCCAAAGAGCCAGGUCCGUUGCAGAGUAGACUGGGAGGACAGAAGAGCCCGUCACCUGUGGCGUUGGAAGUGUUAGAUCUGAAGUGCUGGGUCGGAAUUUUGUACUUGAGUUUUUGUGCAUAUACUUUUAAAAAAUAGAAACCCACAUUUUUAUAUGUAAUUCCAUUUUUAGAUAACUAGAAGUAAUAGAAUAUAAAUUCUUUAAAAACCUAAAUAUUUUCUGUAAUGUUAGUAUGGAAAACAUAAUAUAAAACAAUUAUAC
This 373-nucleotide long non-coding RNA is filed under the name Rattus norvegicus (Norway rat). Its description in RNAcentral is "long non-coding RNA NONRATT008510". Lineage: Eukaryota; Metazoa; Chordata; Mammalia; Rodentia; Muridae. The record is from RNAcentral.